Molecule: non-coding RNA, 54 nt
Organism: Salmo salar (Atlantic salmon)
Lineage: Eukaryota; Metazoa; Chordata; Actinopteri; Salmoniformes; Salmonidae
Source: Rfam
UGCAUACAUGACUGUAAGUAGCUUUGGAUUAAAGCUUCUACUAAAUGGAAUACA